RNAcentral lists this ribosomal RNA (836 nucleotides) under uncultured Actinomycetes bacterium. RNAcentral's name for it is "bacterial SSU rRNA". It matches the Rfam family "Bacterial small subunit ribosomal RNA", at positions 663 to 1498 of the family's 1533-position model. The record is from RNAcentral. Lineage: Bacteria; Bacillati; Actinomycetota; Actinomycetes.
GGAAUUCCUGGUGUAGCGGUGGAAUGCGCAGAUAUCAGGAGGAACACCAAUGGCGAAGGCAGGUCUCUGGGCCAAUACUGACACUGAGGAGCGAAAGUCUGGGGAGCGAACAGGAUUAGAUACCCUGGUAGUCCAGACCGUAAACGGUGGGUGCUAGUUGUGGGGAACCUUCCACGGUUUCUGCGACGCAGCUAACGCAUUAAGCACCCCGCCUGGGGAGUACGGUCGCAAGACUAAAACUCAAAGGAAUUGACGGGGGCCCGCACAAGCGGCGGAGCAUGCGGAUUAAUUCGAUGCAACGCGAAGAACCUUACCAAGACUUGACAUAUAGAGGAAAAGCGUAGAAAUACGCUCCCCGCAAGGUCUCUAUACAGGUGGUGCAUGGUUGUCGUCAGCUCGCGUCGUGAGAUGUUGGGUUAAGUCCCGCAACGAGCGCAACCCUCGUCCUAUGUUGCCAGCACGUAAUGGUGGGAACUCAUGGGAGACUGCCGGGGUCAACUCGGAGGAAGGUGGGGAUGACGUCAAAUCAUCAUGCCCCUUAUGUCUUGGGCUUCACGCAUGCUACAAUGGUCGAUACAAAGGGCUGCAAUACCGCAAGGUGGAGCGAAUCCCAUAAAGUCGGUCUCAGUUCGGAUUGGGGUCUGCAACUCGACCCCAUGAAGUCGGAGUCGCUAGUAAUCGUAGAUCAGCAACGCUACGGUGAAUACGUUCCCGGGCCUUGUACACACCGCCCGUCAAGUCACGAAAGUCGGUAACACCCGAAGCCGGUGGCCUAACCGUAAGGAAGGAGCCGUCGAAGGUGGGAUCGGUGAUUGGGACUAAGUCGUAACAAGGUA